AUUUGUGUGAUGAGCACAGAUAUUUGUUCCUGAGUCAUGGUUGUUUUCUAUGUAUUUAAGCUUUUUUAUUUUAUUUUAUAUUAUAUAUAUCGUUGUCUGAGUACCCACAACACAAGCUUUCUUGAGCUUACCGUGGGGCUUAGUCAAUUUGUGUAAUAAUGACCUAUAA
This is a long non-coding RNA of Cydia amplana, 169 nucleotides long. RefSeq lists it as uncharacterized. NCBI's taxonomy places the organism in Eukaryota, Metazoa, Arthropoda, Insecta, Lepidoptera, Tortricidae. The record is from RefSeq and is a predicted model, not a curated record. The transcript has 2 exons.